RNAcentral lists this ribosomal RNA (568 nucleotides) under Rhodosporidiobolus odoratus. RNAcentral's name for it is "LSU rRNA". It matches the Rfam family "Eukaryotic large subunit ribosomal RNA", at positions 56 to 645 of the family's 3401-position model. The record is from RNAcentral. Lineage: Eukaryota; Fungi; Basidiomycota; Microbotryomycetes; Sporidiobolales; Sporidiobolaceae.
GAWAACCAAGGAUUCCCCUAGUAGCGGCGAGCGAAGCGGGAAGAGCUCAAAUUUAUAAUCUGGCACUUUCAGUGUCCGAGUUGUAAUCUCUAGAAGUGUUUUCCGCAUUGGACCGCACACAAGUCUGUUGGAAUACAGCGGCACAGUGGUGAGACCCCCGUAUACGGUGCGGAUGCCCAAUGCUUUGUGAUACACUUUCGAAGAGUCGAGUUGUUUGGGAAUGCAGCUCAAAUUGGGUGGUAAAUUCCAUCUAAAGCUAAAUAUUGGCGAGAGACCGAUAGCGAACAAGUACCGUGAGGGAAAGAUGAAAAGCACUUUGGAAAGAGAGUUAACAGUACGUGAAAUUGUUGGAAGGGAAACGCUUGAAGUCAGACUUGCUAUUCGGGGCUUGCUCCGAGUUGCAGGCCAGCAUCAGUUUUCUGGGGUGGAAAAUCACGGUUAGAAGGUAGCAACUUCGGUUGUGUUAUAGCUUUCCGUUGGAUACAUCCUGGGGGACUGAGGAACGCAGUGUGCUUUUAGCAGGAGCUUCGGCUUCAUCACACUUAGGAUGCUGGUGGAAGGCUUAAAC